This 281-nucleotide ribosomal RNA is filed under the name uncultured prokaryote. RNAcentral describes it as "partial 16S ribosomal RNA". It matches the Rfam family "Bacterial small subunit ribosomal RNA", at positions 524 to 803 of the family's 1533-position model. The record is from RNAcentral.
UACGUAGGGGGCUAGCGUUAUCCGGAAUUACUGGGCGUAAAGGGUGCGUAGGUGGUUUCUUAAGUCAGAGGUGAAAGGCUACGGCUCAACCGUAGUAAGCCUUUGAAACUGGGAAACUUGAGUGCAGGAGAGGAGAGUGGAAUUCCUAGUGUAGCGGUGAAAUGCGUAGAUAUUAGGAGGAACACCAGUUGCGAAGGCGGCUCUCUGGACUGUAACUGACACUGAGGUACGAAAGCGUGGGGAGCAAACAGGAUUAGAUACCCUGGUAGUCCCUGAGCGGG